AUGGUGCUACCCGCCACCCCCUCUCGCGACGCCGGAGCUCACUCGCGCCCUUCGCAGGACGGCCAGGGGGAAGCGGGGCCGCCGCGCCCGCGCAGACCGCCCGCGUUCUACAGCUCCGUGUUCGCGCAGAUCGAAGAGGUCGGGUGGGGGCAACUAGUGAGCGCCACAGGCGAUGACGGCGUGUCGUGCCUCACCUUCCGCGUCAUGGAUGAGCAGCGACGGCACCAUUUACUGGAGAUCACACUGCCCAUGAACUACCCGGCAUGCCCUCCUUCAAUUGCUGCGGAUGUUCCUUAUCUCCCUAAAUUACAGUGGUCAAAAAGCUCAAGACUGAAGGAUGUUCUCUGCCAGUUCCAAGAGCACCUGAAGGUAUUGCAAGAUUACUGGUCUACAAUGGAUGGCAUUGACAAGGCCCUUUGGGUUGUCGAUCCUACAAAGCCGACAUAUGCUAUGUCUCAUCAUCGCAUAGCUUUGGGUGAUGAUUGCUAUAUUUUACUACAUGUUGAUACGCACAAGCCCAACUCCUUACCAGAGUGCCGCUUCCUAGGCACAGAUGGGAAAUUGGAAAGGCUGAUAAAGAAUUGGAGAAAAAAUCGUAAGAGAUGGAGCGCUGACAGAAAGUUCCAUGAAAACCUGGCAACCGUCUUAGAUUUUGCUCUGCCGCAACCCCCUUCUGUGAGUAUCAAAGAUGACCAGCAAGCUGAUUGUGGGAUAUGUUACGCCACGCAUCUGCCCGUCGAUGACGAACUCGGGACUCAGAGCGGGUGCGCGGCGGACUACAAGUGCGAAAACCCUAGCUGCAGCAGAGCCUUCCACUCCGUGUGCCUGAGAGACUGGCUGCGCACCAUUACUACGACAAGGUCGUUUGAUGUCCUGUUCGGGAACUGCCCUUAUUGCAGUGAGCCUGUCGCCGUGAAGAGCACCGACAGCUGA
RNAcentral lists this ribosomal RNA (933 nucleotides) under Triticum aestivum (bread wheat). RNAcentral's name for it is "partial small subunit ribosomal RNA". Lineage: Eukaryota; Viridiplantae; Streptophyta; Magnoliopsida; Poales; Poaceae. The record is from RNAcentral.